GACGAACGCUGGCGGCGUGCUUAACACAUGCAAGUCGAACGGAAAGGCCCUGCUUUUGUGGGGUGCUCGAGUGGCGAACGGGUGAGUAACACGGGAGUAACCUGCCCUUGACUUUGGGAUAACUUCAGGAAACUGGGGCUAAUACCGGAUAGGAGCUCCUGCGGCAUGGGGGGGGUUGGAAAGUUUCGGCGGUUGGGGAUGGACUCGCGGCUUAUCAGCUUGUUGGUGGGGUAGUGGCUUACCAAGGCUUGGACGGGUAGCCGGCCUGAGAGGGUGACCGGCCACAUUGGGACUGAGAUACGGCCCAGACUCCUACGGGAGGCAGCAGUGGGGAAUAUUGCACAAUGGGCGGAAGCCUGAUGCAGCAACGCCGCGUGCGGGAUGACGGCCUUCGGGUUGUAAACCGCUUUCGCCUGUGACGAAGCGUGAGUGACGGUAAUGGGUAAAGAAGCACCGGCUAACUACGUG
RNAcentral lists this ribosomal RNA (468 nucleotides) under uncultured bacterium. RNAcentral's name for it is "partial 16S ribosomal RNA". It matches the Rfam family "Bacterial small subunit ribosomal RNA", at positions 28 to 507 of the family's 1533-position model. The record is from RNAcentral.